Molecule: small nuclear RNA, 111 nt
Organism: Pipistrellus kuhlii (Kuhl's pipistrelle)
Lineage: Eukaryota; Metazoa; Chordata; Mammalia; Chiroptera; Vespertilionidae
Source: RefSeq, a predicted model, not a curated record
GUGCACUUCGGCAGCACAUAUGCUAAAAUUAGAAUUGGAACCAUACAGAGAAGAUGAGCAUGGUUCAUGCACAAGGAUGACAUGCAAAUCCUUGAAGCACUCCUUAUUUUU